RNAcentral lists this ribosomal RNA (476 nucleotides) under uncultured anaerobic ammonium-oxidizing bacterium. RNAcentral's name for it is "bacterial SSU rRNA". It matches the Rfam family "Bacterial small subunit ribosomal RNA", at positions 365 to 832 of the family's 1533-position model. The record is from RNAcentral.
UUCGCAAUGCCCGAAAGGGUGACGAUGCGACGCCGCGUGAGCGAAGAAGGCCCUAGGGUUGUAAAGCUCUGUCGAGGGUUAUGAAAUAUAGAUGGGUUAAUACCCCAUUUAUUUGACAAAAGCCCAAAAGGAAGCCACGGCUAACUUUGUGCCAGCAGCCGCGGUAAUACAGAGGUGGCGAGCGUUGUUCGGUAUUAUUGGGCGUAAAGAGCACGUAGGUGGUUUUGUAAGCCAGGUGUGAAAGCCUUCUGUUCAAAGGAAGAACGGCAUCUGAAACUGCAGAUCUUGAGUGUAGGAGGGGAGAGUGGAACUUCUGGUGGAGCGGUGAAAUGCGUAGAUAUCAGAAGGAACGUCGGCGGCGAAAGCGACUCUCUGGCCUAUUACUGACACUGAGGUGCGAAAGUUAGGGGAGCAAACGGGAUUAGAUACCCCGGUAGUCCUAACCGUAAACGAUGGGCACUAAGUAGAGGGGUUUU